CUACUAAGCGUGAAGCCCUCCCCAAGAUUAGGUUUCGUAGGGCAAUGCCCGAAAGUCCCCUUGAAGAUCACGAGAAUUUCGCGGCCGCGUCGACUCUGAAGCCAUGCUUCCAGAAAAACUUCUACUAUUUAAUUGAUAUGGUGACUCGUACCGAGAACGAACACACGUGGUCAAGGAGAAAAUCCUAAGGCAAGCGAGAUAACUAUAGCUAAGGAACUCUGCAAAAUCAUCCCGUAAGUUAGACGAGAAGGGAUGCUUACUGAAAAGUAAGCCGCAGUGAAGAGGCCAGGGCGACUGUUUAACAAAAACACAGCUCUCUGCUAAGUCGUAAGACGAUGUAUAGGGGGUGACGCCUGCCCAGUGCUGGAAGGUUAAGAGGAUGGGUUAGCGUAUAUUUUAUAUGCGAAGCUUAUAAUUGAAGCCCCAGUGAACGGCGGCCGUAACUAUAACGGUCCUAAGGUAGCGAAAUUCCUUGUCAGGUAAAUUCUGACCCGCACGAAUGGCGUAACGAUCCUGGCGCUGUCUCAGCUAUAGACUCGGUGAAAUUUUAGUACC
This 555-nucleotide ribosomal RNA is filed under the name uncultured Spiroplasma sp. RNAcentral describes it as "bacterial LSU rRNA". It matches the Rfam family "Bacterial large subunit ribosomal RNA", at positions 1495 to 2051 of the family's 2925-position model. The record is from RNAcentral. Lineage: Bacteria; Bacillati; Mycoplasmatota; Mollicutes; Entomoplasmatales; Spiroplasmataceae.